AAAACAAGUGAGACAAAUAGAAAUCCUUUCAAACCAAAUGAACAAAUGUCACACAAUUUGUUCCACAAAAAAAAUUCUAAAAAAAAGAGAAGAAGAAAGCCUGGAUAAGUUGAAAUUUGGAAACAAGUGACUUAGGCAAAAAUUAAGGUAUCCCGAUGGACUGUAAGCAAAAAAGUCAGUCCAGGAAAAAUUAGAGAAGUUAAAA
RNAcentral lists this long non-coding RNA (205 nucleotides) under Lathyrus oleraceus (garden pea). RNAcentral's name for it is "Pisum sativum (pea) long non-coding RNA (PSAT_LNC007774)". The record is from RNAcentral. Lineage: Eukaryota; Viridiplantae; Streptophyta; Magnoliopsida; Fabales; Fabaceae.